AAAGGCUAAUCAAAGGCGUGAUAAGAAAAGGGAAACACAGGAGCUGGAGACUGGAACUACACCACUAAAGUCCACUGACGGUCCUGAACCAACCAGGGACCAACAAGAAUGUACCAUAACUAUCCCUGAUGGAACUAUGGAUGAUCAUCAUGGUGACCAGAGUCUGGGUCCAGCCCCUUCCUCAAGCCCCACACAUAAUGGAUCUGAGUCAGUCUCAGACCAUCAGGAGGACCAUCAGCCUGUCCUCAUCAAGAGAGACCAUGGAGCCUCCCGGUCCACCCCCCUUAGUCUGAGUCCCCUCUCCCCCUCCCAGUCCACCCGCCUCAGUCUGGGUCCCCCCUCCCCCUCCCAGUCCAC
Molecule: long non-coding RNA, 357 nt
Organism: Gadus morhua (Atlantic cod)
Lineage: Eukaryota; Metazoa; Chordata; Actinopteri; Gadiformes; Gadidae
Exons: 3
Source: RefSeq, a predicted model, not a curated record